GCUAAUACAUGCAUGUCGAGCGAGGUUUCUUCGGAAGCCUAGCGGCGAAUGGGUGAGUAACACGUGCUUAAUCUACCCUUUAGAUUGGAAUACCUAAUGGAAACAUUGGCUAAUGCCGGAUACGCAUGGAACCGCAUGGUUCCGUUGUGAAAGGAGCUUUACAGCUCCGCUAGAGGAUGAGGGUGCGGAACAUUAGUUAGUUGGUAGGGUAAUGGCUUACCAAGACUAUGAUGUUUAGCCGGGUCGAGAGACUGAACGGCCACAUUGGGACUGAGAUACGGCCCAAACUCCUACGGGAGGCAGCAGUAGGGAAUAUUCCACAAUGAGCGAAAGCUUGAUGGAGCGACACAGCGUGCACGAUGAAGGUCUUCGGAUUGUAAAGUGCUGUUAUAGGGAAAGAACACUUGGUUGAGGAAAUGCUUCCAAGCUGACGGUACCCUGUCAGAAAGCGAUGGCUAACUAUGUGCCAGCAGCCGCGGUAAUACAUAGGUCGCAAGCGUUAUCCGGAAUUAUUGGGCGUAAAGCGUUCGUAGGCUGUUUAUUAAGUCUGGAGUCAAAUCCCGGGGCUCAACCCCGGCUCGCUUUGGAUACUGGUAAACUAGAGUUAGAUAGAGGUAAGCGGAAUUCCAUGUGAAGCGGUGAAAUGCGUAGAUAUAUGGAAGAACACCAAAGGCGAAGGCAGCUUACUGGGUCUAUACUGACGCUGAGGGACGAAAGCGUGGGGAGCAAACAGGAUUAGAUACCCUGGUAGUCCACGCUGUAAACGAUGAUCAUUAGUCGGUGGAGGAUUCACUGACGCAGCUAACGCAUUAAAUGAUCCGCCUGAGUAGUAUGCUCGCAAGAGUGAAACUUAAAGGAAUUGACGGGGACCCGCACAAGCGGUGGAGCAUGUGGUUUAAUUUGAAGAUACGCGGAGAACCUUACCCACUCUUGACAUCCUUCGCAAAGCUAUAGAGAUAUAGUAGAGGUUAACGGAGUGACAGAUGGUGCAUGGUUGUCGUCAGCUCGUGUCGUGAGAUGUUUGGUCAAGUCCUGCAACGAGCGCAACCCCUAUCUUUAGUUACUAACGAGUCAUGUCGAGGACUCUAGAGAUACUGCCUGGGUAACUGGGAGGAAGGUGGGGAUGACGUCAAAUCAUCAUGCCUCUUACGAGUGGGGCAACACACGUGCUACAAUGGUCGGUACAAAGAGAAGCAAUAUGGCGACAUGGAGCAAAUCUCAAAAAGCCGAUCUCAGUUCGGAUUGGAGUCUGCAAUUCGACUCCAUGAAGUCGGAAUCGCUAGUAAUCGCAGAUCAGCUACGCUGCGGUGAAUACGUUCUCGGGUCUUGUACACACCGCCCGUCACACCAUGGGAGCUGGUAAUACCCAAAGUCGGUUUGCUAACCUCGGAGGCGACCGCCUAA
RNAcentral lists this ribosomal RNA (1404 nucleotides) under Mycoplasma sp. Its description in RNAcentral is "partial 16S ribosomal RNA". It matches the Rfam family "Bacterial small subunit ribosomal RNA". The record is from RNAcentral. Lineage: Bacteria; Bacillati; Mycoplasmatota; Mollicutes; Mycoplasmatales; Mycoplasmataceae.